CCUAGGGAGAGAAUGACCCAGGAGCUCCUUCCAACCUUACAGCAAGUGUGUUUUCAGUGUGGUUCAUUCAGCACCCUUGGUGUAUAUGAGGGAUGUAAAGAAGUGGAAUGACUUUGAAAAUCUGUUGAUUCAGGAGGAAGAUGAUCUGUUACCCACUUCAUUUUCAUGAAUGCUUUGUUUAGGAAGGCACUGUAGACUUCACAGAAUAAAAUAUAUUUCAGUGGCAGUAGGUGGAUUGGGGCUUAUGAAGUGAAGAAAACAUGUGGGCGAGCUGGGUAGCCAUGUGAAAUGUAUAUGUUUGAUAAAGAGACUGGAAGAAAAAGAAAGAAUAGCACUAGAAAAACAAGGGGAAGCUGGAGCAAAAGAAAAAAAUAUAUUUU
This 380-nucleotide long non-coding RNA is filed under the name Homo sapiens (human). RNAcentral's name for it is "HSALNT0391014". The record is from RNAcentral. Lineage: Eukaryota; Metazoa; Chordata; Mammalia; Primates; Hominidae.